RNAcentral lists this ribosomal RNA (394 nucleotides) under uncultured eukaryote. RNAcentral describes it as "bacterial SSU rRNA". It matches the Rfam family "Eukaryotic small subunit ribosomal RNA", at positions 592 to 990 of the family's 1831-position model. The record is from RNAcentral.
CAAUAGCGUAUAUUAAAGUUGUUGCGGCUAAAAGCUCGUAGUUGGAUUUCUGUCGAGGACGUCCGGUCCGCUUUUUGAGCGUGUAUCUGGUUCGGCCUUGGCAUCCUCCGGGGAAUGUUGCUGCGCUUGAUUGCGUGGUGCAGAUUUCCGGACUUUUACUUUGAGGAAAUUAGAGUGUUUACAGCAGGCAAACGCCGUGAAUAUAUUAGCAUGGAAUAAUAAUAUAGGACCUUCGGCCUAUUUUGUUGGUUUCUGGGACGAGGGUAAUGAUUAAUAGGGAUAAUUGGGGGCAUUCGUAUCAACUAGUCAGAGGUGAAAUUCUUGGAUUUGGUUGACGACGAACUACUGCGAAAGCAUUUGCCAAGGAUGUUUUCAUUGAUCAAAGAACGAAAUG